GUGACAUUCUGUCUCGUCUUUACCUCUAUGUAUAUAAAUUCUUUUCUGCAGUAAUGUAAGGAAUCAACAGAGCUUUCAAGGUGUCAGGACCAUUUUUUUACCAUUGUUUUCAUAGUCAGUGGCAACAUGAAUUCAGCAGCCAAUGUGUCUUAUAGUACUGGCCUUUUAAUUUGUUGCUGACAUUUCAGGACACAUUGUCAUUGCUCGAUCAGGUUAGAUUAGAACAGCAAAAGAUGGUUCUUUCAAAGUGGAGCAUGAAGUUUUGGUAUUUAACUCAAUUCAGAAAUCAGAAUCGGUAAGGUGUUAAUGUGGUGGAUUUAACAAUUCGAAAAGACUUCCAUCUUUAUAAGGCGCACUUCUCAAAUUUCUUGUUCGGAGUUGGUUGAUUUUAGCAGACUCUUAAUAAAUUGUUUUUGUAAAGUUCUUUAUGUCCAUUGUUUUUGGGUGCAAACUUGCUCAAAAUUCUCCAGAGAUUACGAGGGGUUUUGAUAUCCAGUUCUACCCAUGCUACAUUGAGCUACAGCUGCUAACUAGAAAAGCUGUGUGAACGGUACUUGGAACUUCACUGGUUGGAUUGUAAUAUUGAGCUUGUUCAUGUCAAACGGGUUGCUUGAUGUAGUGCUAGUUUACUGCGAUCUUUGGGCUUGCUAACUAUUUAAAUCAAAUUAUGGAGUCUGAAACUCCGUCUAGAGAAUAUAGGCAGCCCAGCAUGCUUCAGCGAGUACUUUCUGCUUCUGUGCCAAUGCUGCCGAUUGCACUUGGGUAUGUUGUUCCUGGGAAAUGAGUUGCAAUGGUUGAUGGAGGAGUUUUUGGGUUUGAUUUGGUCAUGCUAGUACUCUUGUUCAAUUUUGCUGUCAUUCUGUGCCAGUAUCUGUCUGCUUGUAUAGCCUUAGUUACAGACCGAGAUCUUGUGCAGAUUUGCAGUGAAGAAUAUGACAAAGUUACAUGCAUAUUCCUAGGAAUUCAAGCUGAGGUUUCGAUGACUGCUUUGGGACCUCACAAAAGUUUUGGGCACUGCAGAUGUUGUGUGUGGAAUUGACCUGUUUAGCUGUGUUUUCCUGACUGCAACCAGUGCCAUUUUGUUUCCACUGCUUGCUUAUCUCUUUGACAAUGGCAGUUCAAAAUUGUUAUGUAUUGGCUGGGCAAGCUCUGUACUGCUCUCUUAUGUUUUUGGAGUGGUCAUAACGUAAUCUGAAACUCCAUUCUCCAUUGGUAGUAUGCUGAAUAAGUUUAGUGGAGAUAGUGCAUUUGCACUGAUGAGUCUUCUUGGAGCAAGUAUUAUGCCUCAGAAUUUUUACCUCCAUUCUUCUAUUGUACAGGUGUCCUCUCUCUCUAUGUGUGUGUGUGUUUUUGCAUGUGUGCUCAUAAAUAUUGAUCUGUGCUUGCAGAACGGAGGCAGCCUGUAACUUAUAAAACAGUCUGUCACUGGACAGAUUGUUAAGAUAAUUAUUGGUAUGCUAGAUUGGGCCCUGAUAACUCAAGGCUAAAUGUUUGUUCAGUCUAUUUUGUUGUUCCAGCCAGUCAUGUGUGAAUACUUAUACUGCUUUCUUAUAUUCUGUAGCUCUUUAACUCUAGACUAUACAUAGUCAUGUGAGGUCCUUUCUAGAUAUAUUGGUUGUGGCUUGUUCCCAAGUCCUAACUUGUACCAUGUAAUGGGCCUAGCUUAUCUACUUAUAUACUCUUUGCAUCUU
Molecule: non-coding RNA, 1691 nt
Organism: Solanum lycopersicum (tomato)
Lineage: Eukaryota; Viridiplantae; Streptophyta; Magnoliopsida; Solanales; Solanaceae
Source: RefSeq, a predicted model, not a curated record